This 74-nucleotide transfer RNA is filed under the name Streptomyces coelicolor. Its description in RNAcentral is "tRNA Met anticodon CAT, Cove score 71.40". It matches the Rfam family "tRNA". From Rfam's summary of the family: Transfer RNA (tRNA) molecules are approximately 80 nucleotides in length. Their secondary structure includes four short double-helical elements and three loops (D, anti-codon, and T loops). The record is from RNAcentral. RNAcentral also lists the same sequence under 2 other names. Lineage: Bacteria; Bacillati; Actinomycetota; Actinomycetes; Kitasatosporales; Streptomycetaceae.
CGCGGGGUGGAGCAGCUCGGUAGCUCGCUGGGCUCAUAACCCAGAGGUCGCAGAUUCAAAUCCUGUCCCCGCUA